RNAcentral lists this ribosomal RNA (441 nucleotides) under uncultured bacterium. Its description in RNAcentral is "partial 16S ribosomal RNA". It matches the Rfam family "Bacterial small subunit ribosomal RNA", at positions 338 to 795 of the family's 1533-position model. The record is from RNAcentral.
CCUACGGGAGGCAGCAGUGGGGAAUAUUGCACAAUGGGGGGAACCCUGAUGCAGCGACGCCGCGUGGGUGAAGGAGUAUUUCGGUAUGGAAAGCCCUAUCAGUAGGGAAGAACAAUGACGGUAGCUGACUAAGAAGCAUCGGCUAAAUACGUGCCAGCAGCCGCGGUAAUACGUAUGGUGCAAGCGUUAGCCGGAUUUACUAGGUGUAUAGGGAGCGCAGGCGGCGCGUUAAGCCUGGUGUGAAAGCCCGCGGCUCAACCGCGGGACUGCAUUGGGAACUGGCGCGCUGGAGUGCAGGAGGGGUAGGCGGAAUUCCUGGUGUAGCGGUGAAAUGCGUAGAUAUUAGGAGGAACACCAGUGGCGAAGGCGGCCUACUGGACGGUGACUGACGCUGAGGCUCGAAAGCGUGGGGAGCAAACAGGAUUAGAUACCCGUGUAGUC